GUGCAGCAGGCGCGAAAACUCCGCAAUGCGCGAAAGCGUGACGGGGUCACCCCGAGUGCCGUCCGCUGAGGAUGGCUUUUGCCUGGUCUAACCAGCCGGGUGAAUAAGGGGAGGGCAAGUCUGGUGUCAGCCGCCGCGGUAAUACCAGCUCCCCGAGUGGUUGGGACGAUUAUUGGGUCUGAAGCGUCCGUAGCCGGCCGGAAAAGUUCCCCGUUAAAUCUGGCGAUCCAAUCGUUGGGCUGCGGGGAAUACUCUUCGGCUUGGGGGCGAGGGAGGUCGGCGGUAGUCCCGGGGUAGGGGCGAAAUCCUAUAAUCCCGGGAGGACCACCAGUGGCGAAGGCGGCCGACUAAAACGCGCCCGACGGUGAGGGACGAAAGCUGGGGGAGCGAACGGGAUUAGAUAUGAAGUUGAGUUUUUGCCAGCUUCACUAGAUACCCCGGUAGUCC
This 447-nucleotide ribosomal RNA is filed under the name uncultured archaeon. RNAcentral's name for it is "partial 16S ribosomal RNA". It matches the Rfam family "Archaeal small subunit ribosomal RNA", at positions 330 to 747 of the family's 1478-position model. The record is from RNAcentral.